This 522-nucleotide ribosomal RNA is filed under the name uncultured haloarchaeon. Its description in RNAcentral is "bacterial SSU rRNA". It matches the Rfam family "Archaeal small subunit ribosomal RNA", at positions 1 to 526 of the family's 1478-position model. The record is from RNAcentral. Lineage: Archaea; Methanobacteriati; Methanobacteriota; Halobacteria; Halobacteriales; Halobacteriaceae.
AUUCCGGUUGAUCCUGCCGGAGGACAUUGCUAUUGGGAUUCGAUUUAGCCAUGCUAGUCGAGCGAGUUUAGACUCGCGGCGAAUAGCUCAGUAACACGUGGCCAAGCUCCCCUUCAGUCAGCGAUACCCUCGGGAAACUGAGGUUAACAGCUGAUACAAAACGCCAGCUGGAAUGCGGCGUUUCAGAAAGACAUCGCUGAAGGAUGCGGCUGCGGCCGAUUAGGUAGACGGUGGGGUAACGGCCCACCGUGCCAGUAAUCGGUACGGGUGAUGAGAGUCAGAGCCCGGAGACGGAAUCUGAGACAAGAUUCCGGGCCCUACGGGGCGCAGCAGGCGCGAAACCUUUACACUGCACGGAAGUGCGAUAGGGGAAUCCCAAGUGCGAGGGCAUAUUAGCCCUCGCUUUUCUCGACCGUAAGGUGGUCGACGAAUAAGAGCUGGGCAAGACCGGUGCCAGCCGCCGCGGUAAUACCGGCAGCUCAAGUGAUGUCCCAUAUUAUUGGGCCUAAAGCGUCCGUAGCU